AUGUACUCCCUCUGUCCCUAAAUAUAAGGGAUUUUGGUUGGAUGUGACACAUUCUAGUACAACGAAUCUGGACAUAAAGCCUGUCCAGAUUCGUUGUACUAGGAUAAGUCACAUCCAACCAAAAUCCCUUAUAUUUAGGGACAGAGAGAG
This 150-nucleotide unclassified non-coding RNA is filed under the name Oryza sativa (Asian cultivated rice). Its description in RNAcentral is "partial microRNA MIR468j-2 precursor". Lineage: Eukaryota; Viridiplantae; Streptophyta; Magnoliopsida; Poales; Poaceae. The record is from RNAcentral.